Molecule: ribosomal RNA, 496 nt
Filed under: uncultured bacterium
Lineage: Bacteria
Description: partial 16S ribosomal RNA
Rfam family: Bacterial small subunit ribosomal RNA
Source: RNAcentral
GAUGAACGCUGGCGGCGUGCCUAAUACAUGCAAGUCGAGCGAACAGACGAGGAGCUUGCUCCUCUGACGUUAGCGGCGGACGGGUGAGUAACACGUGGAUAACCUACCUAUAAGACUGGGAUAACUUCGGGAAACCGGAGCUAAUACCGGAUAAUAUAUUGAACCGCAUGGUUCAAUAGUGAAAGACGGUUUUGCUGUCACUUAUAGAUGGAUCCGCGCCGCAUUAGCUAGUUGGUAAGGUAACGGCUUACCAAGGCAACGAUGCGUAGCCGACCUGAGAGGGGGAUCGGCCAAACUGGAACUGAGACACGGUCCAGACUCCCACGGGAGGCAGCAGUAGGGAAUCUUCCGCAAUGGGCGAAAGCCUGACGGAGCAACGCCGCGUGAGUGAUGAAGGUCUUCGGAUCGUAAAACUCUGUUAUUAGGGAAGAACAAAUGUGUAAGUAACUAUGCACGUCUUGACGGUACCUAAUCAGAAAGCCACGGCUAACUACGU